UACGGAGGAUGCGAGCGUUAUCCGGAUUUAUUGGGUUUAAAGGGUGCGUAGGCGGAAUGGUAAGUCAGUGGUGAAAUCCUGCAGCUCAACUGUAGUUGUGCCAUUGAUACUGUCAUUCUUGAGUACAGAUGAGGUAGGCGGAAUGAGUAGUGUAGCGGUGAAAUGCAUAGAUAUUACUCAGAACACCAAUUGCGAAGGCAGCUUACUAAACUGACACUGACGCUGAAGCACGAAAGCGUGGGUAUCAAACAGG
This 253-nucleotide ribosomal RNA is filed under the name uncultured bacterium. Its description in RNAcentral is "partial 16S ribosomal RNA". It matches the Rfam family "Bacterial small subunit ribosomal RNA", at positions 524 to 776 of the family's 1533-position model. The record is from RNAcentral.